UAAUAUAAUAAAUUUUUAAAAUUAGAUAUUGCAUAUCAUUAAAAUAAAAUUUUAUUAAUAUAAAAAAUAAAAAUAAAAAGUUGAAAUUUUUUAUGUUUUAUUGUUUCACAAUAAAAAUUAAAAAAUUUAGGGUUGAAAAGUCGUUUUUUAUAAUAUUUGUUUUGUUAAAUUUAUUAGAAAAUUAUAAUAUAAAAUAAAAUGUUAAUUAAAAUUAUAAGUUAAAGUAUUAAAAUUUUAAGUUUUAUAACUUUUUAAUAAAUAUAGAUGUUAGUAAUUGUAAAGUUUUACUGAUUAAUGUAAAAUAAAAAAUUUUUAAAUUAGUAAGUUAGUUAAAAAUGUAUAAAUAAUAAAAAUUUAAUAAAAAAACUUUUAAUUUAAUCAAAUGUUUUUUAAAGACUUAGAUUUUUAAAUAAAGUUGGCUUCUGCCCUAUGAAAAUUUAAAUGGCAGUCUUAGCGUGAGGACAUUAAGGUAGCAAAAUAAUUAGUGCUUUUAAUGGGUUCCAGUAUGAAUGAAGUUAUUGGUUAAUGGUGUUUAUAUUUUUAUUGUGAAAUUUUAUUUGUAUAAAAAGUUUAUAAAUGUAAUUUUACAAAGAUAAGUCUUCGGAAAUUAUUUUAUAAAAAGUUAAUUAAUUUUUUAUAUUUUUUUUAGGGUAAAAUAUUAUAUAAUGAUUUUUAUCUAAUAUUAAUUUUAAAAAUUACUCCGGAGUUAACAGAAAAUCAUAUUUGAUCCAGAAGUUAUGGUAAAAUAAGUUUUACAUCGAUGUUGUAUUUAAAUUAAUUAAAAAAGGAGAAAUUUUAAUUAUUAAGACUGUUCUUCUUUUACUUAAUUUAACGUGAUAUUAGUUUAAUUCAUUGUGAAAUAGAAUUGUUUAUCUUGUAAAUUAUUUAAUAAAAAAAUUUUUAGUACGAAAGGAAAAAAAUAAAAACUUUAAGUUUUAACAUGAUAA
RNAcentral lists this ribosomal RNA (947 nucleotides) under Haemonchus placei. Its description in RNAcentral is "16S ribosomal RNA". Lineage: Eukaryota; Metazoa; Nematoda; Chromadorea; Rhabditida; Trichostrongylidae. The record is from RNAcentral.